GACUGACGCUCAGGUGCGAAAGCGUGGGGAGCAAACAGGAUUAGAUACCCUGGUAGUCCACGCCGUAAACGAUGUCGACUUGGAGGUUGUGCCCUUGAGGCGUGGCUUCCGGAGCUAACGCGUUAAGUCGACCGCCUGGGGAGUACGGCCGCAAGGUUAAAACUCAAAUGAAUUGACGGGGGCCCGCACAAGCGGUGGAGCAUGUGGUUUAAUUCGAUGCAACGCGAAGAACCUUACCUGGUCUUGACAUCCACGGAAGUUUUCAGAGAUGAGAAUGUGCCUUCGGGAACCGUGAGACAGGUGCUGCAUGGCUGUCGUCAGCUCGUGUUGUGAAAUGUUGGGUUAAGUCCCGCAACGAGCGCAACCCUUAUCCUUUGUUGCCAGCGGUCCGGCCGGGAACUCAAAGGAGACUGCCAGU
RNAcentral lists this ribosomal RNA (418 nucleotides) under Escherichia coli. RNAcentral's name for it is "bacterial SSU rRNA". It matches the Rfam family "Bacterial small subunit ribosomal RNA", at positions 738 to 1156 of the family's 1533-position model. Lineage: Bacteria; Pseudomonadati; Pseudomonadota; Gammaproteobacteria; Enterobacterales; Enterobacteriaceae. The record is from RNAcentral.